ACGCUCGACACCUACGGGAGGCAGCAGUGGGGAAUAUUGCACAAUGGGGGAAACCCUGAUGCAGCGACGCCGCGUGGAGGAAGAAGGUCUUCGGAUUGUAAACUCCUGUUGUUGGGGAAAAAGAGGAUGGUACCCAACAAGGAAGUGACGGCUAACUACGUGCUAGCAGCCGCGGUAAUCUGAGGCGGGCUGGCAAGGC
RNAcentral lists this ribosomal RNA (199 nucleotides) under uncultured bacterium. Its description in RNAcentral is "partial 16S ribosomal RNA". It matches the Rfam family "Bacterial small subunit ribosomal RNA", at positions 328 to 539 of the family's 1533-position model. The record is from RNAcentral.